CUGGCGCAUGCCGUCGGUCCACGGCUCGGCGCCGUGGAUGCCGAUGCGCAGGGAGGUGCCCCGGGGAUCCAUGCCCUGGCGCUUGA
RNAcentral lists this transfer RNA (86 nucleotides) under Azospira sp. I09. RNAcentral describes it as "tRNA-His". The record is from RNAcentral. Lineage: Bacteria; Pseudomonadati; Pseudomonadota; Betaproteobacteria; Rhodocyclales; Rhodocyclaceae.